UGUCAAUGGGAAGAUGACAGCAAAAUGG
This 28-nucleotide non-coding RNA is filed under the name Mus musculus (house mouse). The record is from RNAcentral. Lineage: Eukaryota; Metazoa; Chordata; Mammalia; Rodentia; Muridae.